RNAcentral lists this ribosomal RNA (2923 nucleotides) under Klebsiella pneumoniae. RNAcentral describes it as "23S ribosomal RNA". It matches the Rfam family "Bacterial large subunit ribosomal RNA". Lineage: Bacteria; Pseudomonadati; Pseudomonadota; Gammaproteobacteria; Enterobacterales; Enterobacteriaceae. The record is from RNAcentral.
GGGUUGUGAGGUUAAGCGACUAAGCGUACACGGUGGAUGCCCUGGCAGUCAGAGGCGAUGAAGGACGUGCUAAUCUGCGAAAAGCGUCGGUAAGGUGAUAUGAACCGUUAUAGCCGGCGAUGUCCGAAUGGGGAAACCCAGUGCAAUUCGUUGCACUAUCGUUAACUGAAUACAUAGGUUAACGAGGCGAACCGGGGGAACUGAAACAUCUAAGUACCCCGAGGAAAAGAAAUCAACCGAGAUUCCCCCAGUAGCGGCGAGCGAACGGGGAGCAGCCCAGAGUCUGAAUCAGCUUGUGUGUUAGUGGAACGGUCUGGAAAGUCCGACGGUACAGGGUGAUAGUCCCGUACACCAAAAUGCACAGGUUGUGAACUCGAAGAGUAGGGCGGGACACGUGGUAUCCUGUCUGAAUAUGGGGGGACCAUCCUCCAAGGCUAAAUACUCCUGACUGACCGAUAGUGAACCAGUACCGUGAGGGAAAGGCGAAAAGAACCCCGGCGAGGGGAGUGAAAAAGAACCUGAAACCGUGUACGUACAAGCAGUGGGAGCACCUUCGGGUGUGACUGCGUACCUUUUGUAUAAUGGGUCAGCGACUUAUAUUCUGUAGCAAGGUUAACCGUAUAGGGGAGCCGCAGGGAAACCGAGUCUUAACUGGGCGUUAAGUUGCAGGGUAUAGACCCGAAACCCGGUGAUCUAGCCAUGGGCAGGUUGAAGGUUGGGUAACACUAACUGGAGGACCGAACCGACUAAUGUUGAAAAAUUAGCGGAUGACUUGUGGCUGGGGGUGAAAGGCCAAUCAAACCGGGAGAUAGCUGGUUCUCCCCGAAAGCUAUUUAGGUAGCGCCUCGUGAACUCAUCUUCGGGGGUAGAGCACUGUUUCGGCUAGGGGGUCAUCCCGACUUACCAACCCGAUGCAAACUACGAAUACCGAAGAAUGUUAUCACGGGAGACACACGGCGGGUGCUAACGUCCGUCGUGAAGAGGGAAACAACCCAGACCGCCAGCUAAGGUCCCAAAGUCAUGGUUAAGUGGGAAACGAUGUGGGAAGGCACAGACAGCCAGGAUGUUGGCUUAGAAGCAGCCAUCAUUUAAAGAAAGCGUAAUAGCUCACUGGUCGAGUCGGCCUGCGCGGAAGAUGUAACGGGGCUAAACCAUGCACCGAAGCUGCGGCAGCGACACUAUGUGUUGUUGGGUAGGGGAGCGUUCUGUAAGCCUGCGAAGGUGUGCUGUGAGGCAUGCUGGAGGUAUCAGAAGUGCGAAUGCUGACAUAAGUAACGAUAAAGCGGGUGAAAAGCCCGCUCGCCGGAAGACCAAGGGUUCCUGUCCAACGUUAAUCGGGGCAGGGUGAGUCGACCCCUAAGGCGAGGCCGAAAGGCGUAGUCGAUGGGAAACAGGUUAAUAUUCCUGUACUUGGUGUUACUGCGAAGGGGGGACGGAGAAGGCUAUGUUAGCCGGGCGACGGUUGUCCCGGUUUAAGCAUGUAGGCUGGUUAUCCAGGCAAAUCCGGAUAAUCAAGGCUGAGGUGUGAUGACGAGGCACUACGGUGCUGAAGUAACAAAUGCCCUGCUUCCAGGAAAAGCCUCUAAGCAUCAGGUAACAUCAAAUCGUACCCCAAACCGACACAGGUGGUCAGGUAGAGAAUACCAAGGCGCUUGAGAGAACUCGGGUGAAGGAACUAGGCAAAAUGGUGCCGUAACUUCGGGAGAAGGCACGCUGGUGUGUAGGUGAAGUCCCUGCGGAUGGAGCUGAGACCAGUCGAAGAUACCAGCUGGCUGCAACUGUUUAUUAAAAACACAGCACUGUGCAAACACGAAAGUGGACGUAUACGGUGUGACGCCUGCCCGGUGCCGGAAGGUUAAUUGAUGGGGUUAUCCGUAAGGAGAAGCUCUUGAUCGAAGCCCCGGUAAACGGCGGCCGUAACUAUAACGGUCCUAAGGUAGCGAAAUUCCUUGUCGGGUAAGUUCCGACCUGCACGAAUGGCGUAAUGAUGGCCAGGCUGUCUCCACCCGAGACUCAGUGAAAUUGAACUCGCUGUGAAGAUGCAGUGUACCCGCGGCAAGACGGAAAGACCCCGUGAACCUUUACUAUAGCUUGACACUGAACAUUGAGCCUUGAUGUGUAGGAUAGGUGGGAGGCUUUGAAGCGUGGACGCCAGUCUGCGUGGAGCCAACCUUGAAAUACCACCCUUUAAUGUUUGAUGUUCUAACGUUGGCCCCUUAUCGGGGUUGCGGACAGUGUCUGGUGGGUAGUUUGACUGGGGCGGUCUCCUCCCAAAGCGUAACGGAGGAGCACGAAGGUUAGCUAAUCCUGGUCGGACAUCAGGAGGUUAGUGCAAUGGCAUAAGCUAGCUUGACUGCGAGCGUGACGGCGCGAGCAGGUGCGAAAGCAGGUCAUAGUGAUCCGGUGGUUCUGAAUGGAAGGGCCAUCGCUCAACGGAUAAAAGGUACUCCGGGGAUAACAGGCUGAUACCGCCCAAGAGUUCAUAUCGACGGCGGUGUUUGGCACCUCGAUGUCGGCUCAUCACAUCCUGGGGCUGAAGUAGGUCCCAAGGGUAUGGCUGUUCGCCAUUUAAAGUGGUACGCGAGCUGGGUUUAGAACGUCGUGAGACAGUUCGGUCCCUAUCUGCCGUGGGCGCUGGAGAAUUGAGGGGGGCUGCUCCUAGUACGAGAGGACCGGAGUGGACGCAUCACUGGUGUUCGGGUUGUCAUGCCAAUGGCACUGCCCGGUAGCUAAAUGCGGAAGAGAUAAGUGCUGAAAGCAUCUAAGCACGAAACUUGCCCCGAGAUGAGUUCUCCCUGAGACUUUAAGUCUCCUGAAGGAACGUUAAAGACGAUGACGUUGAUAGGCCGGGUGUGUAAGCGCAGCGAUGCGUUGAGCUAACCGGUACUAAUGAACCGUGAGGCUUAACCUUACAACGCCGAAG